This 253-nucleotide ribosomal RNA is filed under the name uncultured bacterium. RNAcentral describes it as "partial 16S ribosomal RNA". It matches the Rfam family "Bacterial small subunit ribosomal RNA", at positions 524 to 776 of the family's 1533-position model. The record is from RNAcentral.
UACGUAGGGUCCGAGCGUUAAUCGGAAUUACUGGGCGUAAAGCGUGCGCAGGCGGUUUUGUAAGCCAGAUGUGAAAUCCCCGAGCUUAACUUGGGAACUGCAUUUGGGACUGCAAAGCUGGAGUACGGCAGAGGGAGGUGGAAUUCCACGUGUAGCAGUGAAAUGCGUAGAGAUGUGGAGGAACACCGAUGGCGAAGGCAGCCUCCUGGGCCGCAACUGACGCUGAGGAGCGAAAGCAUGGGGAGCGAACAGG